This is an RNA transcript of Nelumbo nucifera (sacred lotus), 5065 nucleotides long. It is a transcript of the gene named putative phospholipid-transporting ATPase 4, with no coding region annotated. The record is from RefSeq and is a predicted model, not a curated record. Lineage: Eukaryota; Viridiplantae; Streptophyta; Magnoliopsida; Proteales; Nelumbonaceae.
UCGACAAACCAAACGCGGGGAGGCAAAAAUUUUCUACUUUCUCCCGUGCAAAGGCUCCUUUUGUUCGACAAGACAAAAGGUUCUCAUGUCAAAUAGAAGGACCUUGUAGAGGUCCUUGCCGAACACAAGGUUCUCUUGUCAAACACAUGGUUCUCAUUCCAGAUAACCUUGCAGAGAAUUUUUGAAGAAGACAGAAGGUUCACGAGCAAGAUAAAUUAGAGAAGAAUAAGUUUUCUUCACGAGCAAGGUAGCAGGCUUCUUCGAUUGAGAUAAAUUGCAGAGCAGAAUCAGUUUUCUUCACGAGCAAUGUAGCAGACUUCUUCGACUGAGAAAGGGGAAUAAUCCUUUUGUGCUUGAGAAGGAGAACUUUUUGGGUAUCAAGCACCACUUCUUUUAUUAGUUUUCUUCCUCCUCUGUCAUUCUCUCCAUUUUCCAUUUUUAAAGUAGAAAAAUAUUCACAAUAGCUAGCUAUAGCUCUACCUCUCAUCGCUGCCAUCUAGUCUAGCACGGUGUUGGGGAAAUGCCAAGUCUCUCCACCUGCAACUUCAAUCAAACAUCAUUCCCAACCUCAAAAACUCACUCUCCCUCACCCUCCAACACUUCUACAUUCUUGCCGGAAACCUAUUUGUAAAGGAAACAGUUGAUGUUGGAAAACCCUAAACCUAUACCAGAGAAAGAGAAACUUUCUUCUGUAUUAUCCAGUCCAAACUGCAGAGGUGAAUUUCAUAAGACUUGAGACAGGACUCAUGUGGCUGAUCCCAAUAGUUAGCAAUUGGGAUAAGGCUAUGUUUAGUUGACUUGAGCUUUGACUAUGCAAGCCUAUUUCUUUUAAGAUAUUUGUAGCAUUUAAUCUGUGAAAAAUUUUUCAGGGUGUUGGUUCUGGUGCUCAAAGUGAUGUUUCUUUCUUAUCAUGGAAUGACAAGGUUCAACAUAUACUUGCAUCCAUUUCACAUAAUGGGACGACAGUUUGUCAGAUUCAAAUAGAAGGCGAAGCUCUGUUUUACAAUGGAAUCUUGAUAUUGCAACUCAGCUUGUUUUUGCAUCUGAUGAUGACAGUUCACCUUCUCUAAGGUUGUGGGAUAUGAGGAACCCAAUAUCACCAUCAAAAGAAUUUUUUGGGCACACUUGUGGUAUGCUAUCUAACAUGAUAAUACUUCAUUUCUCCUUUUGUUAAAUGCUAGUACGGUGGGCAUGAUUUACAAGUUAGACUGUUUUUAAUAAUAUGGMUGUUGCUAUGUUUUGAUAACUUUAUUUUGUGAUUGGGAAUCCUUGGUGUGUCUCCCUGGGUUUUAGAAAAUUAGGGUACUAAUUGUAAUUAUUUGAUGGUUGAAUUUUGCUUUAAUUUCUUUAGUUCAUUAUACAUUGUUUUUUCUUAAUUUGUUGAUGUUAUAUUUGUUUUCUUGCCUUUUCUUUUUCUUUUUUGGAUUUUAUUUCCACCACUUGAUUUUGCGGGUGAAAGAUGUUUAGUAGGAAUUGGAGAUAUGAAGCAAUUAGAGAUUGGUAGAGAUUUAGAAGUUGGAGUUUUGUUUUGGGUGGGUUGGGUUUCUUCACAAUAGAAGACUUUUAUUUCCAUCACUUGAUUUUUCUUUAAGAAGACUUUUCUUCACAAUAGAAAAUAUAUUUUUUUUUUAUGUUUAUAAGUUCUGAAAUCUCCUUUGGCAAAAUUCAUGGAUUUAGAUUUAUACAGAACUGAAAAAAUGGUGAAAUGUGAACCUCUUUUUUAGGUUCUGUUGCAUGAUGCUUUCAUGAAUCUAUGUUUCACAUAAAUACACAUAAUUCCGAGGUUAGGAAGGCUUGUUUGUUUCUACAAAACCAUUAUGUGGUAAAAAUUCACUAAUUACUUACUAUGAGAUAUACUAAACUGUUAUACAUGUGAAGUAUUCUAGAAUCACUUAUUGCAAAACCUGAAUGCAUUGUGGUUGGCAUCUGGUGCCUCAUGCAAUUAUGCUUAUUUCCUGAUUUCUUUUUUUAUUGCUAAAUAUAAAAAGUUUAAAAUCUUGAUACACUUUUGUUACUGUUUUUGUUUUCUGGAUUUUCCUCUUAUGGACUAUAUGCCCUGUGUUCCUUUCUUUCUUUCUUUCUUUCUUUCUUUCUUUCUGUACGCAUAUGCAUUCCUAGUUUCCACUUUUUUUUCCUGUGGCAUGACUGUUGAUUUGCAUCAUGGCCGAGUUUGGUAAGUGGUGAUUGUUUAGAUGGCACUCUGCAAUUCAGCCCAAAUUCUAAAGCCCGUUUUGUUGAUACACAUCUAUUUUCCUGAUUCCCUCAGUCUCAUAAUAGUCAUUUUGGUUUGGUCAUCAAUGAGUAUAGUACAUGAAGCAAAGUUCAGAUUGCAUUCCACAAAUUUCUUGGCAAAGCUUCAGCUGCAGCCUCAACAUCAAUCCUUCAGCAGGAGGAAGAACAAUUUCAUCUGGAUUCCCAAAUGACAUAGGAUUUAUUGCUCAUGCUCUUUGAAUGCCACUGCAAAUUUUCAGUAUUGCCUUUUCUUCUCUCUACUCAACCCUUUAAACAGUGGGUUUGACCUAAAAAUUGACACAAAUUUUGACUAAAAAUGAUUGAUCUGAGGCUUUUCAGCACUGUUCUAUACCUUUAUGUAGAGAAAGAAGGGAAGAAACUACUUACAUGUAGAGUACAUAUAAUGGAUUUUCACUAUCAUAAUUUUCUUUGAAGCACAUAAGCAAGGAACCCUAAUCUUGAUCAUUAAUUUGCUGGACCAUUCACUUACUUACUGCAAUUCAUAGCUUAAAUCUUAUAAAAGGAGUAAAAACACCAAACACAAUCUUCUUUUAAGCACAAUAGCAAGGGACUCUUGUCUUAAUUAUUAGUUUUCUAAAUCUAGUAUCUGUUUUACUGAAAUUGUAGCCUGAAUCUCAUAGUGGGGGUAAAGAGAUUGGAGUUCAAGAAAUGUCAGAUACCAGCCACUGGUUAUUGGACCGAUCAGCUCUACCUAACAAUGAAUCCAUUAGAGGUUUACAAUUCAAUGGCAUGGAUGAUCUUCUCUGCCUCUGUAAAGGAUCUGCUUUGAUGUUGAAGCCUAGUGGGAAUUCUGCUUCCUUACCUUCUAGUUGGGUUAAUUGAGGCCAACCAAACCCAUUUUAGCAGGUUUAAUAUAGUUGGAUUAAGGCUUUAUUAAGUUGGACUGAGUUGUUUGAUCAUGCACUUUUGUUUGAGAAGAGAAGAGGAUAAAUAAAUAAAUAAUGUAUCUAACUUUUGCUUUUCUAUAUGGAUAUUACAAGCUUUUUUGUAGUUUGGUUUUAAACCCAAUCUGGUAUGGAAUUAGAGUGUUGAGUAGAAGAAACAUGUCAAAAAAAAAAAGAGUGUGGUAGAUAUGUGACAUGUCUGGAGUUAAAUAGAUAAAAUGGGUAAAAUAAUAUACAUCCUUUGUACCCUUCUUGUUCUGAUAUUGCUGAUCAGCUCGAUAGGAUUUGCUGUGAAGACAAAGUUUGGGAUGCCAGACUGGUGGUACUUGCAACCAGAAGAUACUACAAAUUUGUAUAAUCCAUCAAAGCCUAUGUUGUCAGUAGUGAAGGUCUUGCAAGCAAUGUUCUUUAACCAAGACAUAAACAUGUAUGAUGAGGAGACGAGCAAUCCUACUGAAGCUCGUACAUCAAAUCUGAAUGAGGAGCUCGGCCAGGUUCACACUAUUCUUUUUGAUAAGACGGUCACUUUAACAUGCAAUCAGAUGGACUUCCUUAAGUGCUCCAUUGCUGGUGUUGCCUUUGGUAUGGGUUCUAGUGAAGUUGAAAUAGCUGCAUGGAUGGAAAUUGGUUGAAAGAACCCAAUUCAGACACCAUAUUGUUCUUUCGGAUACUGGCACUUUGCCACACAACAAUUCCUAAGCUAAAUGAGGAAACUGGCAGUUUCAACUAUGAGGCUGAAUCACUAGAUGAGGGAGCUUUUCUUGUUGCAGAUAGAGAGUUUGGUUUUGAAUUCUGUAAACGGACUCAAACAAGUGUCUUCAUUCGAGAAAGAUAUCCUUCUUCUGAGCACCUGAUUGAAAGGUUAGAAUACAAAUAUAUUUUAGGGUCUUCAAUUUUUCAUUGUUUUGAUUCAUGGCAUCUAAUCCACCUAUUUGUUGGAACAUUUUCAUGGAGUUCAAAAUUCUAAAUCUGUUGGAGUUUAGUAGCAAAUGGAAGCGGAUGUCUGUUAUUGUUCAGGAUGAAAAUGGAGAGAUUCUUCUUCUGUGCAAAGGUGCAGACAGCAUAAUUUUUUACCGGUUAGCCAAAAAUGGAAGAACAUAUUUGGAGGAGAAAAGUAGGCAUCUGAGUGAAUAUUGAGAAGCAGGUUUGCGGACUUUGGCACUUGCAUAUAGAAAGCUAGAAGUGGCAGAGUAUUCUAAUUGGAACAAUGAAUUUCUUAAGGCAAAGACUAAUGUAGGUGGUGAUAGAGAGGUGAUGCUUGAACAGGUACCAGAUAAGAUGGAAAAAGAUUUAAUUCUUGUAGGUGCAACUGCUGUGGAGGACAACUUGGGCAGGUUUGGGUUUGGUGGAGCUAACAAUAGCAAGUCCAUGUGUACUGAACAUUCAGUCUUAACCUAAUCUGACCUGAAGAUUACCAUGAACUGUUCAACUUAAAUCUUACUUGACUUGGGUUGGGUUGGGUUUAUUAUAUCAUAUAAUGCACGCCGAAUUUUAGAUAAAGGUUAACUUCUCCUGAAAAGAAUAAUAAGAAUAAAGAGAGGUUAGCAGUAGCAGGGACUGAAUACCAGGGGCGGAGCUAAAUUUUACCUUGUCAAAUUGGAACAAGGAAUUGAAAGCCAUGUAGGAAAGGAAGAAACAGCAAGCCAACUUGAUGGUUGUCCCUGUUGUUGACGGCAAUGAGCACCGAAAUCCAGUCUCACUAUCUAGUGACUUCAUAAAAUAGAUGACCAAGAGAUUUGCUCAAGUUGUUAGGUUCGAAGAAAGUGGUAAAGAAGACCUAAUAACAGAGAAGGGUGGCUCUACUAUUGUUGCAGUUGUGGGUGCUAGAGUUAAAUAUGAAGAUGUGUCACAUUAUUCAAGAAGAUUUUUUUUUCUAAAUGCCUUGUACCGUUUUAUAUGUCAAUUGGAUAUUGUAUUGAAUCAAUUUG